This is a long non-coding RNA of Hemiscyllium ocellatum (epaulette shark), 2331 nucleotides long. RefSeq lists it as uncharacterized. The transcript has 3 exons. NCBI's taxonomy places the organism in Eukaryota, Metazoa, Chordata, Chondrichthyes, Orectolobiformes, Hemiscylliidae. The record is from RefSeq and is a predicted model, not a curated record.
AAUCUGGUGAUUCUGGCAAUUAGGAUGCGCGGUUCCUCCUGGAGAUGAAUGUGGACGGAAGCGGGAACCGCUGGAGGAACUCGGCAGGUUUGGAGACAAAGAAUAAAGAACAGUACAGCGCAAGAACAGGCUCUCCUGCCCACCAAGAUGUCUUUCUAAACUAAAAAAAUGUUUUGCCUCCACAUGAUCCACAUUCCUAAUGCGGUCUGUUUGGGACCUGUCUUGUUGUCCUAUCCAUUGCUGGGAGAAAGUGAUGACUGCAGAUGCUGGAGAUCAGAGCUGAAAAUGUGUUGCUGGAAAAGCACAGCAUCCAAGGAGCAGGAGAAUCAACAUUUCAGGCAUGAGCCCUUCUUCUAUCCAUUGCUGGAGCCUGUAGCAGUGUGGGAUGAACCCACCCUUAGAAAGAAAUCUGAAGAUGUACCAUGAGACUUUCAGGGGAUACUGAGUGUUUGGAAGGAAGCAGACAUUUGUAAUCUUGCAGUAUAUUAAUAAAUCCAGUGAUAUGUUAAAGAUUAGCAUCUGCUACUUCAUUAACUGACUUUGAAACAAAGUAACCCAUUUUCAAUAAGUAUUCAGUCAAAGAAAUAUUGUUCAGUCAUUGUUCAAUUUCAAAGAUUUAAGAAAAUUUCGACAUGCACCUGUAUUGAAAAUGUGAAUGAAAUCUUAAUGAUUUUAUUAAAUCAUUAACUCUGCUAUAAUUUGAAGAAAUUCAACAGAAACUUAAGGAAACGCUCUGUUUCCAAACUGAAACACUGCAAGUGAGCAGUUCUAAAAAAGGAGAAGGUGAAGAUUUUUCCAUCUGCUUGAUCAAUACACGUGCUCACAGUUAUUUCCGCUGUUCGAGAUCGGAAACUUGUAGAAAAUGAACUGCUAACAAGAGGCCGAGACCAUGAACAAUGGAGAGAAGUGGAAAAGAUCCAAGCUGAUCAACUGUUCUGUAGCAAUUUUUCUCCCCGGAAAUCUAACACUGGAAGCUCAGCAGUAGUGAGCGGAGUCCCGGGAAUUGGAAAAUCAACAGUGGUACAAAAAUGGUUUAUGAUUGGGCCACUGGGAGAAUAUACCCAGAGUUCCAAUUUGUAUUCAGUUUUAAAUUCCAGGAUUUGAACAUUUUCAACUUCAGAUAAACCUGAGGAAUCUGGUAUUGGAUCAGUAUCCUUAUUUUGGGAGUGUUCUGGGAGAACUCUGGAAGAACCCAGAGGGUUUGCUGUGCAUAUUUGAUGGUUUGGAUGAAUUCAAGGACAGUAUUGACUUUCUAACAGCGAAGUUCAUGUGCACUGAUCCUGAAUGCUGGUGUAAUGUAUCUGACAUUGUGUACAGUUUAAUCCAGCACAAGCUGCUCCCUGGAUAUUCAGUGCUAGUGGUCAGCUGUCCCAUUGCAUUGCAUUUAUUGGAAAAGGCUGAGAUCAGGGUCUAGACUGAAAUCCUGGGAUUUGUUCAGAAUGAGCAGAAGGAACAUUUCAUCAGGUUUUUUGAGGAUCAGAUGGUGGCAACAGCUGUUUUCAAACACGUGGAGGCGAACAAGAUCCUGCAUAUCAUGUGCUACAACCCUUCAUAGUGUUGGAUCCUCGGUCUCUCACUGGGUCCCUUCUUCACACAAAGAGACAGGAAACAGCAGCAAGUUCCCAAGACCAUCACCCAACUAUAUUCCUACUAUAUUUACAACAUUUUGAAAAACCAUGGCUGGAGAUCAGAGACCCCUGUGAUAUGUUCCUGAAGCUUGAUGAGAUGGCUUUCACUGGUGUGUCUGAGAAGAAGAUUGUGUUUAGAAAUGGAGAUUUGAUCCAAUACAACCUGCAUGCUUCGCAGUUCUUAUCAGCGCUCCUGAUGGAAUUUUUUGGAGAUGAUUCUGUCCAGGGUGUGGUUUACACAUUCCCACAUCUCACCAUCCAAGAAUUUGUAGUUGGACGCACACAAUUCCUGAUUCCAGUCUCUAGGCAUUAAGAAGCUCCUCAGUGAAGCCCACAGGAAGAAUGAUGGGCGAUUUGAGAUACUUCUCUGUUUUAUUGAUGGUCUCACCUCCUGACAGGCAGCUGAGCCCUUGGAGGAGUUCCUUGGUCUACUUGAUAAGCAGACAAUCCAUCAAGUGAUUAACUGGGUGAAGGAGAAGAUUAAAGAACAGAUUGGAUGUGAAGGGAGUGAAAUUUGUAAAAGGAAAAUCCUGAACAUGUUCCACUACCUGUUCGAGGGUCAGAGCAGAAGCAUAGUGAGACCUAAGAAACACUUCAAUUUCUUCGACUGAAAUUGACUCCUAUUGACUGUGCAGUGUUGUCCCAUGUCAUUGGACUCUGUGAUAAAAUAAAUGAAUUAAAUUUAGAGGAAUGUAAUAUCGCA